CCCUUAGAUGUUCUGGGCCGCACGCGUGCUACACUGAGUGGAUCAGCGGGUCAGGUUGCGCGAAAGCGUUUCCUAAUCUUUAAAUCCGCUCGUGAUGGGGAUUGACGGUUGCAAUUUUCUGUCAUGAACGAGGAAUACCUUGUAAGCGCGGGUCAUCAUCCCGCGCUGAAUACGUCCCUGCCCUUUGUACACACCGCCCGUCGCUACUACCGAUUGGGAAAAUUUUAGAGAGUCCUGGACUGAUGAUUGUUCGGCUUCACGGCCUUACUUUCGUCGGGAAAGAAUUCGAUAAUAUUUUUCUAGAGGAAGUAAAAGUCGUAACA
This 323-nucleotide ribosomal RNA is filed under the name uncultured eukaryote. Its description in RNAcentral is "partial 18S ribosomal RNA". It matches the Rfam family "Eukaryotic small subunit ribosomal RNA", at positions 1470 to 1796 of the family's 1831-position model. The record is from RNAcentral.